This 700-nucleotide ribosomal RNA is filed under the name uncultured bacterium. RNAcentral describes it as "bacterial SSU rRNA". It matches the Rfam family "Bacterial small subunit ribosomal RNA", at positions 57 to 748 of the family's 1533-position model. The record is from RNAcentral.
GCAGUCGACGGUAACAGGAAUCAGCUUGCUGAUUUGCUGACGAGUGGCGGACGGGUGAGUAAUGUCUGGGAAACUGCCUGAUGGAGGGGGAUAACUACUGGAAACGGUAGCUAAUACCGCAUAACGUCGCAAGACCAAAGAGGGGGACCUUCGGGCCUCUUGCCAUCGGAUGUGCCCAGAUGGGAUUAGCUAGUAGGUGGGGUAACGGCUCACCUAGGCGACGAUCCCUAGCUGGUCUGAGAGGAUGACCAGCCACACUGGAACUGAGACACGGUCCAGACUCCUACGGGAGGCAGCAGUGGGGAAUAUUGCACAAUGGGCGCAAGCCUGAUGCAGCCAUGCCGCGUGUAUGAAGAAGGCCUUCGGGUUGUAAAGANUUUUCAGCGGGGAGGAAGGGAGUAAAGUUAAUACCUUUGCUCAUUGACGUUACCCGCAGAAGAAGCACCGGCUAACUCCGUGCCAGCAGCCGCGGUAAUACGGAGGGUGCAAGCGUUAAUCGGAAUUACUGGGCGUAAAGCGCACGCAGGCGGUUUGUUAAGUCAGAUGUGAAAUCCCCGGGCUCAACCUGGGAACUGCAUCUGAUACUGGCAAGCUUGAGUCUCGUAGAGGGGGGUAGAAUUCCAGGUGUAGCGGUGAAAUGCGUAGAGAUCUGGAGGAAUACCGGUGGCGAAGGCGGCCCCCUGGACGAAGACUGACGCUC